Molecule: long non-coding RNA, 814 nt
Organism: Leptidea sinapis
Lineage: Eukaryota; Metazoa; Arthropoda; Insecta; Lepidoptera; Pieridae
Exons: 4
Source: RefSeq, a predicted model, not a curated record
AAUGAGUGUCAGAUAUCAACAGUCGUUCAGAUAACACAUAUAACGGUUACUGUCACUGUUAAAAUGUGCCUGCCCGUAUCGAACUGUUGUCUAUGUAUCAGCUUAAGUGUAGGAGCGAAAAUUGUAGCUGUUUUAAGUUUGAUUGUAUCCACAUGCACAGUGUUGGUGUACGGAGCGGCGGCCUUGCUGCCUCCAUCAUCAGUGCGGGAGACGCGUCGCAUCAGCUACGCGGCCAUCGCGCUGGCUGCCGGCAUCAAGCUCCUCAUGUCUUUCUUCAUGGUGUAUGGGGCGUUCAAAAAGCGGCCGAAGCUUCUGUUGCCCUGGCUGCUGACAGCUUGGUUCUAUUCCCUCGUACUCAUCGGCCUCUCACUCUUCGGCACCGUUCUGAUGGCACUGCAGUACGUUAGAGACUUGGACACCUCUGCGGAAGUCAGCACGAUGGUAGCUGUUUACUUCGUGUAUGCCAUUGUUCUGUACUACUUCGCGUCAGUGGUGAACAGCAGAAGGAAUGAAAUGAAUCGCGACGUGUUCACCUACACCGGCCAUCACUUGGUUGGACACAGAGUGUUGCCCAAGCAUUACUACUCAUAAAUCACCGCAGGGUACAUCAAGCCAUCGCGCCAGAAACAGAAGCCUCUAAUACCUUGUCAACUUAAAAUGGCACGUUGAAUACUGUUUUGAAUGGACGAUGGAGUUAGAGAGUUAUUACAGGAGGAAAUUUUAUAAAUAAAUGGAGUCGUUUUCGUGAAAGAGAACCUAUUACGUUAAGAAGUGAAUUUAUAUUAUUAAUGAAUAAAAACAUGAUUUUAAUUAA